RNAcentral lists this non-coding RNA (25 nucleotides) under Rattus norvegicus (Norway rat). The record is from RNAcentral. Lineage: Eukaryota; Metazoa; Chordata; Mammalia; Rodentia; Muridae.
UGAAGGCCGAAUCAGACACAAAGGU